Molecule: long non-coding RNA, 3330 nt
Organism: Leucoraja erinaceus (little skate)
Lineage: Eukaryota; Metazoa; Chordata; Chondrichthyes; Rajiformes; Rajidae
Exons: 2
Source: RefSeq, a predicted model, not a curated record
CAGUGAGCUUAGAGCCGCCACACCAGAAGAAGCAAGGUGACGAUUUUCCACAAGGGUCUGCUGCUGAAAUAAACAGCACACCUUUCACUUUUUAAAUUGUUAUGGGCGAGUUUAGGGAGGCAAGCAAGACAGGGGGGAGAAAAGGAGGGAGGACGAACCCUGAAGGAGGCCACACUGACAGACAACAGACACUUAAAGGCACAAGGAAUCUGAUUAGCAUGCUUUGGUUUUGCAUUCUAACCUCGUGAAACAGCCGCACCGUGCUAGUGAAAGAUUGCAGCUGGAUGUUUCUCCCUUCCAUUUAAACUCCGUCUCAGCCAUGAUCUGACGAGGAACCUUCGCAAUAGAGAGUCAUUGACUAGACUGGGAAUGCUCUCUAAACUUCUUCAAUAAAGCUGGAGUCUCAGGGUAGAGUCAACUGUGUUUCAUUUCACCGUGGAGAAGACUUAACGCUACUCGCUAUUUGUCUGGGCCCAAGUCAGCACAACAUACUGUUGAGAACUAAUGAUCACUCUUUGGCACGGAAUAUACGCGGCUCAAAACAUCGGCAAGUGCACUCUGCAGUCCAGUGUGGUUUAUAUCUGAUUGGAGUCAGUUACAUUAAUGGCUCUUUGCUUGGUCUUCUCUAUGUUCUCUUGCAGCUGCUCUGUGACAGGAUUCUCAAAGCUUACCAUCGUGCAGAAAACUAAUUACAUUUAGAAAAAAAAAAAUAGCUUAGCACAGCUGCCAGGAAUUUGUGGCAUGGAAGUUGGAAAUUCCCAAUGGCAGGCACGAGGGACAUGUGGGGGUUAUGAGCACCUGGGAAUUUUCUUCAAAAACGCUCCCCUUCUACAAAGGCUGGCCCAAUAAACCAUCUUUCCCCUUAAGUCUGAAGAAGGGUUCUGCUCUUUCCAUACACCCACCACUCUCUGAGUGAAAAAAAUUGCCCCUCAGCUUCCUAUUAAAUCUUUCCCCUCACUACCGUAAACCUAUGCCCUCUGGUUCUUCAAAGUACCAGGGAGCAGCAGAAACGUCAAUAUGUAGAAGGGUCCCGAACCGAAACGUCACCUGUUCCUUUUCUCCAGACAUGCUGCCUGACCCCCUGAGUUACUCCAGCAUUUUGUGUCUGUCCUUCCUCUUAACCUACCUUUGAUAUUUUUAUAUUUAGUAAAUGAAUGCAAAGUAAACAUGUAGACCUAGAGAUGAGUCCACACACUCAUCUCCCUGCUUCCUUCAGGUAGAAGGUACAGGAGCCUGAAGACUGCAACAGCUAGGUUCAGGAAUAUCUACUUCCCCACAGCCAUCGGGCUAUUAAACCUGGCUCGGACAAAACUCUGAUUAUUAAUAACCCAUUUUCUGUUAUUUGCACUUUAUCAGUUUAUUUAUUCAUGUGUGUAUAUAUUUAUAUUAUGGUAUAUGGACACACUUAUCUGUUUUGUAGUAAAUGCCUACCAUGUUCUGUGUGCUGAAGCAAAGCAAGAAUUUCAUUGUCCUAUACAGGGACACAUGACAAUAAACUCACUUGAACUUGAACUUGAGUCAAUGUGUGAAAGGUGGGAUCGGUACAGCACAGGGGACCAGCACCUAUUUCGAUGGUGGCGAAGGGAGAGUGUUAUUUUUACGUGUAUGAUGCUGGAUAUAUGAGUGUUGAGCCUUAGAGAUAUUCAGCAUAGAAUCUGGCCCUUCAGCCCCAUAUACCCGUCCUAGUGCCCUUCACAUGCUGUUAUAAUACUGUCUCAUCUGCUUCCUCUUUCCAUACACCCAACACCCAACACCUUCUGAGUGAACAGGUUGCCCCUCAGUUUCCUAUUAAAUCCUUCCCCUCUCUACCAUAAGCAUAUGUCUGCUGGUUCUUCAAAACAGCAGGUGAGCAGCAGAAAGGUCCUUCUGCAGAAGCGUCCUGACCUGAAACCUCACCGAUCCAUGAUCACAUUGAAUGGCGGUACUGGCUCGAAGGGCCGAAUGGCCUACUCCUGCACCUAUUGUCUAUUGAUCCAUGUAUUCCAGAGAUGUUGCCUGACCCACUGAGUUACUCCAGCACUUUGCGUGAUUUCCUCAGGUUCUUGAUUCCACUACUCUGGGAAAUAAAUCAUCAUAUCUAUUCCCUUCAUAAUUUUACGCCUCUCUAUUAGAUCACUUCAAAGCCUUCUGCGCUCCAAGGAAUAAAGUCCCAGGCUGCACAACCUCUCCCUAUCGUUCAGGCUCUGGAGUCCUGGCACCAUCCUUGUGAAUCUCCUCUGCACCCUUUCCAGCUUCAUGACAGUCUGUCAUAUUGCACAGGAACUCAGAAGUUCAUCUGUAAGGUAGCAUGCUAACACAAGCUGUUAAUCAAAACCCCCUUCACCAGCAUUCACAUGCGGUGGGUGGCAUGGUGGCACAACGGUAGAGUUGCUGCCUUACUGCACCAGAGACCCGGGUUCAAUCCUGACUACGGGAGCUGGCAGUGCGGAGUUUGUAUGUUCGCCCCAUGACCAACGUGGAUUUCCUCCCACACUCCAAAGACGUAGAGGUUUGUAGGGUAAUUGGCUUGGUAUAGUUGUAAAUUGUUCCAAGUGUGGGAUAGUGUUAGUGUGUGGGGAUCGAUGGUCAGCGCGUAUUCGGUCGGCCGAAGGUCCUGUUUCCACGCUGUAUCUCUAAACUAAACUAAACACGAAAACUAAACUAUCACUUGCCGCACUUUGUCCUAUCCCACUUGGCUAUUCCAGCUGUCUACCCCCUACUACAGUCAGUCUGAGGAAGGGUCCUGACCCAGAACAUCGACUAUCUAUUCUCUCUAUGGACGCUGCCUGACCUGCCGAGUUGCUCCAGCACUUUGUGAACUGCACCAGGUGACAGAUGAGCUGCCGACUUGCGACCAUGGUGAGGAGGCAGAUGAUGAUGGAGAUGUCCAUUUUGAAUCCCUGACUUGUACGAGAGAGAGAUCCGAGAUCCCGCCGCGCUUUGCAAAACAAGAAUCUGUUUCUCAUCAUCCACCUCCAUGAUCGCAAGAAUGCAACUCAAUCCGUGGCGGAUGAUUCAUUCGAGGAGCAGCGUGAACAUGGUCCUGUCUGUACCAUGGCUGUGGCCCGGACCAGGGGAGUACAGCACAUCAUGCCACUUGAAAUCAUCAAUCAUCAACAAUGUUCAGCUCAUCUCCCCUUACAAGUAAAAUACCUACAGAGUUCAGGCACCUUCCCCAAGUUAAAAGCUUCAGAGUGUGACUGCAACAAUCUCCUUAGAUGAAUGUCGAUUUAGAUUUGGGAUAUAACAGGGGCUAGCCUUUGUAACUGCAGGUUAGUAAUCCCUUUCUUUGCCUCUUCCUCAAAGGUGUGACAUUAUUGAGGCCAGGCUCUAUAAAUGUGUUUUAUCCUU